GGGUCAGUAGGUUGGUCGUGCCACCGGCACGUUCUGGUCUCACUGAUUCCUCCUUCCUGAAGAACCGUAAUGCCAUUAAUUUGGUGUUGCGGGGAAACAGGACUGUUACUUUGAAAAAAUUAGAGUGUUUAAAGCAAGCUAACGCUUGAAUACACUAGCAUGGAAUAAUGAAAUAGGACGAUCGAUCCUAUUUUGUUGGUUUCUAGGAUUGACGUA
This 216-nucleotide ribosomal RNA is filed under the name Glomeromycotina sp. RNAcentral describes it as "partial small subunit ribosomal RNA". The stretch from base 40 to 216 matches the Rfam family "Eukaryotic small subunit ribosomal RNA", at positions 686 to 864 of the family's 1831-position model. The record is from RNAcentral. Lineage: Eukaryota; Fungi; Glomeromycota.